AAAUUGAAGAGUUUGAUCAUGGCUCAGAUUGAACGCUGGCGGCAGGCCUAACACAUGCAAGUCGAGCGGAAACGAGUUAUCUGAACCUUCGGGGAACGAUAACGGCGUCGAGCGGCGGACGGGUGAGUAAUGCCUAGGAAAUUGCCCUGAUGUGGGGGAUAACCAUUGGAAACGAUGGCUAAUACCGCAUGAUGCCUACGGGCCAAAGAGGGGGACCUUC
This 220-nucleotide ribosomal RNA is filed under the name Vibrio alginolyticus. Its description in RNAcentral is "partial 16S ribosomal RNA". It matches the Rfam family "Bacterial small subunit ribosomal RNA", at positions 1 to 218 of the family's 1533-position model. Lineage: Bacteria; Pseudomonadati; Pseudomonadota; Gammaproteobacteria; Vibrionales; Vibrionaceae. The record is from RNAcentral. RNAcentral also lists the same sequence under 1 other name.